GUGAAUCAUCGAAUUUUUGAACGCAAAUUGCACUCUCCUCGGAGAGUAUGCCUGUUUGAGGGUCAGCCUAUAAAAGUCGACAUCGUUGCUGCUUCGCGGUGGCGUUCGUCGGAAUUGGGGCCAUCUUAAAUCCUUUUUAUUUAAGCGCCUUAAAAUUUUCUUUUGUUUCAAUGAAGGUUUCUAAUAUCUUUUUCUUUAAACGUUAAAGGUAUGGAUUUUUCUUAGACGU
RNAcentral lists this unclassified non-coding RNA (229 nucleotides) under Glomeraceae sp. RNAcentral describes it as "partial contains 5.8S ribosomal RNA and internal transcribed spacer 2". The stretch from base 1 to 65 matches the Rfam family "5.8S ribosomal RNA", at positions 84 to 154 of the family's 154-position model. The record is from RNAcentral. Lineage: Eukaryota; Fungi; Glomeromycota; Glomeromycetes; Glomerales; Glomeraceae.